This 497-nucleotide ribosomal RNA is filed under the name uncultured bacterium. Its description in RNAcentral is "partial 16S ribosomal RNA". It matches the Rfam family "Bacterial small subunit ribosomal RNA", at positions 28 to 507 of the family's 1533-position model. The record is from RNAcentral.
GAUGAACGCUGGCGGCGUGCCUAAUACAUGCAAGUCGAGCGAACAGACGAGGAUCUUGCUCCUUUGACGUUAGCGGCGGACGGGUGAGUCACAUGUGGAUAACCUACCUAUAAGUCUGGGAACAUUUCGGGAAACCGGAGCUAACACCGGAUAAUAUAUUGAACCGCAUGGUUCAAUAGUGAAAUACGGUUUUGCUGUCACUUAUAGAUGGAUCUGCGCCGCAUUAGCUAGUUGGUAGGGUAACGGCUUAGCAAGGCUACCAUGCGUAGCCGACCUGAGGGGGUGGUAGGCCGCACGGGAGGUGGGACACGGACCAGACGACUGAGGUAGGCAGCAGUAGGGAAUCUGCCGCAACAGGCGAAAACCUGACGCAGCAGCGCCGAGUGAGUGAUAGAGGUCUUCGGAGCGUAAAGCUCUGUUAUUGGGGGAAAACAGAUGUGUAAGGAAAUAUACACGUAUUGACGGUACCUAAUCAAGAAGCAACGGCUAACUACGUG